This 670-nucleotide ribosomal RNA is filed under the name uncultured bacterium. RNAcentral's name for it is "bacterial SSU rRNA". It matches the Rfam family "Bacterial small subunit ribosomal RNA", at positions 8 to 669 of the family's 1533-position model. The record is from RNAcentral.
AGAGUUUGAUCCUGGCUCAGAUUGAACGCUGGCGGCAGGCCUAACACAUGCAAGUCGAGCGGUAGCACGGGGAGCUUGCUCCCGGGUGACGAGCGGCGGACGGGUGAGUAAUGUCUGGGGAUCUGCCUGAUGGAGGGGGAUAACUACCGGAAACGGUAGCUAAUACCGCAUAACGUCGCAAGACCAAAGAGGGGGACCUUCGGGCCUCUUGCCAUCAGAUGAACCCAGAUGGGAUUAGCUAGUAGGUGGGGUAAUGGCUCACCUAGGCGACGAUCCCUAGCUGGUCUGAGAGGAUGACCAGCCACACUGGAACUGAGACACGGUCCAGACUCCUACGGGAGGCAGCAGUGGGGAAUAUUGCGCAAUGGGCGCAAGCCUGAUGCAGCCAUGCCGCGUGUAUGAAGAAGGCCUUCGGGUUGUAAAGUACUUUCAGCGAGGAGGAAGGCAUUGUGGUUAAUAACCACAGUGAUUGACGUUACUCGCAGAAGAAGCACCGGCUAACUCCGUGCCAGCAGCCGCUGUAAUACGGAGGGUGCAAGCGUUAAUCGGAAUUACUGGGCGUAAAGCGCACGCAGGCGGUUUGUUAAGUCGGAUGUGAAAUCCCCGGGCUCAACCUGGGAACUGCAUUCGAAACUGGCAAGCUUGAGUCCUGUAGAGGGGGGUAGAAUUC